RNAcentral lists this ribosomal RNA (301 nucleotides) under uncultured bacterium. Its description in RNAcentral is "partial 16S ribosomal RNA". It matches the Rfam family "Bacterial small subunit ribosomal RNA", at positions 509 to 807 of the family's 1533-position model. The record is from RNAcentral.
CAGUAGCCGCGGGAAAACGAAGGGUGCAAGCGUUACUCGGAAUUACUGGGUGUAAAGCGUGCGUAGGUGGUGGUUUAAGUCCGUUGUGAAAGCCCUGGGCUCAACCUGGGAAUUGCAGUGGAUACUGGGUCACUAGAGUGUGGUAGAGGAUAGUGGAAUUUCCGGUGUAGCAGUGAAAUGCGUAGAGAUCGGAAGGAACAUCUGUGGCGAAGGCGACUAUCUGGGCCAACACUGACACUGAGGCACGAAAGCGUGGGGAGCAAACAGGAUUAGAUACCCGAGUAGUCCCUGUCUCUUAUAC